UAAAUAAGAAACACAGUUGCUAUUUAACUGAUUAAAUGUAUGCCGAAUUGACCAGCAGCUUCUGUUCAUUUAAGUUGUGUAGCUGUUGUGUUGCCAGAUAUCUCUGUAUGUCUGCAGCAAGCAAUAUGACUUUAAAUUCACGGCUUUUUCAAGCGAAUCUGGUGUUGAUUUGCAUGUUUAACGUUACACAGGUCCCCGUCAUUCAUUCUGUCUAAUUAGCUCUCCUGACCCUCUAAGCAUGGCUGUGACCUCUUCAUCCAGUAAAGACGCUGACUUCUGGCUCAUCACUUUGACUGCUGGCUGACACCGGACCGGCGCUAAGCGGAGGAUGGAUCCUUUUCGGGCCAGGGCGUGCAAUUACAGCAAGAUUUUCCGGAAAUGCGGAUCCAAUUUGGCACUACAUUCGAAUGGAAAACUAACUACAGAUUGGCACUGUGAAAAGCCACAGUUACCGGUCAUACCAGACCAAGCUGUUAAGUAGCAAAAUACUUGAGUGUAUUAAAUUGAGCCAG
Sebastes umbrosus (honeycomb rockfish) is the source of this 512-nucleotide long non-coding RNA. RefSeq lists it as uncharacterized. The transcript has 3 exons. The record is from RefSeq and is a predicted model, not a curated record. NCBI's taxonomy places the organism in Eukaryota, Metazoa, Chordata, Actinopteri, Perciformes, Sebastidae.